GGGAUAUUGCGCAAUGGGCGAAAGCCUGACGCAGCGACGCCGCGUGGGUGAUGAAGGGUUUCGGCUCGUAAAGCCCUUUUCUGUGUGACGAUAGUGACGGUAGCACAGGAAUAAGUGUCGGCUAACUACGUGCCAGCAGCCGCGGUAAAACGUAGGACGCAAACGUUAUCCGGAGUUACUGGGCGUAAAGGGCGCGCAGGCGGAUCAGUAAGUGAGGCAUGAAAGCCUCAGGCUAAACCUGAGGAGGCUGUCUGAGACUGCUGAUCUAGAGUACGAUAGAGGGGUGUAGAAUUCCGCGUGUAGUGGUGAAAUGCGUAGAGAUGCGGAGGAAUACCAGUGGCGAAGGCGGCACCCUGGAUCGAAACUGACGCUGAGGCGCGAAAGCAUGGGUAGCGAAC
This 398-nucleotide ribosomal RNA is filed under the name uncultured bacterium. RNAcentral's name for it is "bacterial SSU rRNA". It matches the Rfam family "Bacterial small subunit ribosomal RNA", at positions 358 to 773 of the family's 1533-position model. The record is from RNAcentral.